AAGUCUGAUGGAGCAAUGCCGCGCGAGUGAUGAAGGUCUUCGGAUCGUAAUACUCUAUUGUAAGGGAAGAACCAGUACGUCAGGCAAUGGACGUACCUUGACGGUACCUUAUUAGAAAGCCACGGCUAACUACGUGCCAGCAGCCGCGGUAAUACGUAGGUGGCAAGCGUUGUCCGGAUUUACUGGGCGUAAAGAGUAUGUAGGCGGACAUUUAAGUCAGAUGUGAAAUCCCCGGGCUUAACCUGGGAGCUGCAAUUGGUAAUUGGUGUCUCGAGUGUAGGAGAAGAAAGUGGAAUUCCUAGUGGAGCGGUGGAAUGCGUAGGGAUUAAGAAGAACACCACUGGCGAAGGCGACUUUCUGGACUAUAACUGACGCUGAGAUACGAAAGCGUGUGGAGCAAACA
This 403-nucleotide ribosomal RNA is filed under the name uncultured Bacillota bacterium. RNAcentral's name for it is "bacterial SSU rRNA". It matches the Rfam family "Bacterial small subunit ribosomal RNA", at positions 379 to 774 of the family's 1533-position model. The record is from RNAcentral. Lineage: Bacteria; Bacillati; Bacillota.